Molecule: long non-coding RNA, 780 nt
Organism: Capsicum annuum
Lineage: Eukaryota; Viridiplantae; Streptophyta; Magnoliopsida; Solanales; Solanaceae
Exons: 3
Source: RefSeq, a predicted model, not a curated record
CCCAACCCAACCCGAAACCAAUUUAUUAACAUAUACAUAGUGUAGGGUUUCCAAAAACAAACUAGUUUCCAAUUCUUCAACUUGUGUCCGCCUCCUUCCACCAUGGUGCUCCCUUUCUCAAAUAUGAGGUUCAUCCAGAUGAUGUAUUGGGUGAUCAAUCCUUUGCCUGCUUUUGGUUGAUUUUCCUGUUUUCAGCUUAUUGAACUAUAUUUUCCAGUAGAUGGGAAAUUUUGAAUGUUUUUGUGCAGCUAAGAGGGAUCUAGUCUUCUGAAUUGAGCUGUAACAGCCGAAUAUAGAAGGGAUGAAGAAAAAUGAGUUGCUUGGACCUAUAAUUGUUUGUCUAUCUACCUCUAUCUCAGGUUUAUGAUGCUCCAUCUGACCUAUCGACCAUUCCAUGGUGCUGAGAAUCCUUUUUGUUGGAUGUAAUAGCUUAGGAAUAGUACAUGCACUAUUUUUGAUGCUACUAAAUUCUGUAUAUAAGUUUUAUGUAAACUAUUCAGCUUGAGUGUCCACCUACUCUUUAUCUUUUGGCUUGUAUGAUCCUCAAGUAUGGACUCUGCCAUUUGUCACUAUUUAAAAUGACUUUACCUCUUUCCUAUAAAUGCUGGUAAUUUGUAAUGGUAAAAGCUCCUGUAUCUAUGGCUAAGUUUGCUAGAUAAUCUGCCAAUUGGUUACCUUCCCUAAAGAUAUACUGAUAUUGUACUUGCUUAUUUUGCAUGAAUUUGUGAAUUUGUUUGACUGUGUGUGUUAUUUUCCAUGGGCAAUUCCAUUCACCUAUUA